CACUGUAAGGCCACCUUAAAUUCCCUUCACCAGUUUAUUCUGAUUAGCGCUUCCUUCCAUCUUUCACGAUGUUCGAGACAGCUGGAAAGGAGACGACUGCGCCCUACAGGUGAGAUGCUUGAUGGUACAAAACGAUCCACGUGCCAUGGGAAACCUUUGUGUCAGCUUCUGGGAGUCGGUGCAUUUAGUGAAUAUACUAAUAUUGUCCUCCCAGAAAUAGCUGUUGCCAAGCUAAAUAACUUGGCUGCACGGAAUACGUGAAUCCUAAAGAUUAUGACAAGCCUAUACAACAGGUCUUGAGAAAUGACCUAAGGAAGAGUCAGUUACUCAAUUGAGUGCAUUGGCAAGGUUGAAACAAUGAGCUGCAUUUGAAGCAAGUCACCCUAUUCUGGGUACAACUGUGCUUGUUGGAAUAGCUGCUGUAGGUGAAGAACUUGCAGUGGAUGCGAGAGGUUAUGUGUUGGGAAGUACUAUGAAAGGAUCCCUUUACGGCGGAGGGUUUAGAGGAAAGGAUGGUAUCCCGAGGCUGUCAGAGGAAUAUUUGGCUGGAACACUGAAACUGGAUAAAAUAAUUUAUCACACUAUGCCAUUGGACAAAAUAAAUGAGGCGUUUGAUCUCAUGCUCGCUGG
Molecule: long non-coding RNA, 630 nt
Organism: Stylophora pistillata
Lineage: Eukaryota; Metazoa; Cnidaria; Anthozoa; Scleractinia; Pocilloporidae
Source: RefSeq, a predicted model, not a curated record